AUGCCCAUUCAGCCCACUAUAAAAUUCAGCCCCCGUGUUUUCAAAGGGCCCCCUUCUGCCUCAGCCUCACCUGUAAUGAUGGGAGGGGAGCGUGCAAGGCGCUCGUCCUGCAAAGCCGCGCCGAGGGCCCGGCCGGCCGCGCUCCGCAGGCUUCGCCGCAUGUGCACGGAGCCGUGGCCUACAGCCGGCCAAAUGCAGGGGCCUUGGAGAGGAAAAUGCCUCUCUGCUUGCCUUCCCCAACCGAGGAAAGUCAGCUCUGCUGUCAGGCGCCCUGUUUAUGCACACUUUUGGGACAGCCGAGAUGGGCCGAGAUGCUUCUCGGCCUUCCACAAAUCUCCCAGUUCCCGCACGGACACUGCCGAGACCGCAGCCCCAAGCCCCGGGGCCGGCGGUGGGUGUGCACGGCCCCUCUCUCUCACGCCCUCACCUGCCGCCAUCCCAGCCCGGCGGCCACCAGCCCCGCUCCCACACGCUCCAGACGGGCCGGUGGCCGAGGGUGAACCCGGAGAGGCCCCAAGUUGUGCACCAUGUCGGGCAGGGUGGCUACGGGGCAAAGUGCCCCGUGAACUGACCCGGCCGACAACUACUUGAUCAAACCCCAGCAAAGGUGAAAGAUAUUGUUCUUCACUGAGAGGAUGAGAAGAUUUAGAUGGACUCCUAACAUGUGGUAAGAGGUUCAAAGCUUGAUUCAUGGUUACUCAGACCCAUCUGAAGUGAUACAUACCCCACAAAGGGAUUUUAAAAUGCUGCUUUUCUACUGAUAGCAAUUUAGACGUGCCUUGUCCUGAUGUAAUUGGUUACAGGGGUUCAAAAAAGCAGUAAACCUUGGGAGUUGUCAUAUCUCUAUGGACGAGUGGCAUCAGUGGUGUCACAAUAAUGUAAAUCCAGCAUUAAGAACAUAACCAAAUUAGCUACCUUUCUUGGUUUUAUGUUAAAUCUCGUUUCUUAAUGAAGCAAUGCAAUGUGCUGCAUGCAGGGCAGUGAGUGUACAUCUUUAUCUCCCUCCUAGUAAAGUUGAAACCAUCAGACAAUUUCAAAAAAGCAGAUGGGCAGCAGUCACAAAGCUCCAAACAGUUUCAUGAAAGGAAUGGGCUGGAUAAAGAAGAGAGAGAGAAUGCUUGUCCUAUCAUUGAGGGAGAAGUGAGCAGAGACCUCCUUGUCCACAUGUGAGGCACAAAGCCUCACACAGUUCCACUGAUGGACUGGGGGUUUGGAGACACCCAUUUCACUUCACCACACAGCAGCCAUUUCAGAGGAGCACACAGGGGGUUUAUUUGCCCCCAGGACUUUGAAGGGACAUGUGCAAUUAGGGUUUUUUAGGAGCGGAGUUAACUUUUACAUCAGAGAGAGAGGGAGUGCCUCUUUAUAGGAAGCUGCCUGCCAAGACAGCAGCAGGCACGGCACAGCCUCCUGAAUCUCUGAUGGGGAUAAGCAGCAACUCUCUCAGCAUUUUUAGCAGUACCCUACAGCUGCCAGUUGCAGAUACAAGGUAGAAGGAUGACAAUGGAGCUGGCUGCUGCUUCCUACUUCUAAUUUGAUCUAAGUAAUGAGCAGUUAAAAAAAGGCUUGGUGUUGCUUUAAGCUAAACCAGCUGUUUGUCUAUAGCCUGCAAGGACAGAGAACAGCAAUACUAGUCCUGUCAUCUCCUGUCUUCAGUGUUCUGCCUGCCACCAGCUGCAGGAGCCACUGGGGCUACAGAUUUCCCAACAAUGGAAUAAACUGCUCUGUGGGAAGAUCCA
Cyanistes caeruleus (blue tit) is the source of this 1739-nucleotide long non-coding RNA. The record is from Ensembl. Lineage: Eukaryota; Metazoa; Chordata; Aves; Passeriformes; Paridae.